GAUGAACGCUGACGGAAUGCUUAACACAUGCAAGUCAACUUGAAUUUGGGUUUUUAACUUAGGUUUGGGUGGCGGACGGGUGAGUAACGCGUAAAGAACUUGCCUCACAGCUAGGGACAACAUUUGGAAACGAAUGCUAAUACCUAAUAUUAUGAUAAUAGGGCAUCCUAUAAUUAUGAAAGCUAUAAGCGCUGUGAGAGAGCUUUGCGUCCCAUUAGCUAGUUGGAGAGGUAACGGCUCACCAAGGCGAUGAUGGGUAGCCGGCCUGAGAGGGUGAUCGGCCACAAGGGGACUGAGACACGGCCCUUACUCCUACGGGAGGCAGCAGUGGGGAAUAUUGGACAAUGGACCGAGAGUCUGAUCCAGCAAUUCUGUGUGCACGAUGAAGUUUUUCGGAAUGUAAAGUGCUUUCAGUUGGGAAGAAACAAAUGACGGUACCAACAGAAGAAGUGACGGUUAAAUACGUG
This 467-nucleotide ribosomal RNA is filed under the name uncultured bacterium. RNAcentral's name for it is "partial 16S ribosomal RNA". It matches the Rfam family "Bacterial small subunit ribosomal RNA", at positions 28 to 507 of the family's 1533-position model. The record is from RNAcentral.